AGAGUUUGAUCCUGGCUCAGGAUGAACGCUAGCGGCAGGCCUAAUACAUGCAAGCCGAACGGCAAGCUUGGUAGCAAUAUCGAGCCUAGAGUGGCGUAAGGGUGCGUAACACGUAUGCAAUCUGCCCGCAACAGGAGGAUAGCUCCCCGAAAGGGGAAUUAAUACUCCAUAAGAUCACGAGAGGGCAUCUGAUAGUGAUUAAACUACAAGGGGUUGCGGAUGAGCAUGCGGUUGAUUAGCUAGUUGGUAGUGUAACGGACUACCAAGGCAAUGAUCAAUAGGGGAACUGAGAGGUUUAUCCCCCACACUGGCACUGAGAUACGGGCCAGACUCCUACGGGAGGCAGCAGUAGGGAAUAUUGGACAAUGGGCGAGAGCCUGAUCCAGCCAUGCCGCGUGCAGGAAGAAGGCCUUCUGGGUUGUAAACUGCUUUUGCCAGGGGAUAAAAGACCCGUGCGCGGGGAAUUGAAGGUACCUGGUGAAUAAGCCACGGCUAACUACGUGCCAGCAGCCGCGGUAAUACGUAGGUGGCAAGCGUUGUCCGGAUUUAUUGGGUUUAAAGGGUGCGUAGGCGGCCCUGUAAGUCAGUGGUGAAAUACGGCAGCUCAACUGUCGAGGUGCCAUUGAUACUGCAGGGCUUGAGUACAGACGAGGUAGGCGGAAUUGACGGUGUAGCGGUGAAAUGCUUAGAUAUCGUCAAGAACACCGAUAGCGAAGGCAGCUUACUAGACUGUAACUGACGCUGAGGCACGAAAGUGUGGGGAUCAAACAGGAUUAGAUACCCUAGUAGUCC
This 792-nucleotide ribosomal RNA is filed under the name uncultured bacterium. RNAcentral describes it as "bacterial SSU rRNA". It matches the Rfam family "Bacterial small subunit ribosomal RNA", at positions 8 to 796 of the family's 1533-position model. The record is from RNAcentral.